This 207-nucleotide ribosomal RNA is filed under the name uncultured bacterium. RNAcentral describes it as "partial 16S ribosomal RNA". It matches the Rfam family "Bacterial small subunit ribosomal RNA", at positions 568 to 774 of the family's 1533-position model. The record is from RNAcentral.
CGCGUAGGCGGCCAUGCAAGUCUGGAGUGAAAGUCCUCAUUUUAAGUGAGGAAUUGCUUUGGAAACUGCGUGGCUUGAGUGCAGGAGAGGUUAUCGGAAUUCCCGGUGUAGCGGUGAAAUGCGUAGAGAUCGGGAGGAACACCAGUGGCGAAGGCGGGUAACUGGACUGCAACUGACGCUGAGGCGCGAAAGUGUGGGGAGCAAACA